This 507-nucleotide long non-coding RNA is filed under the name Cervus hanglu yarkandensis (Yarkand deer). Its description in RNAcentral is "lncRNA (ENSCHYG00000000243.1)". The record is from RNAcentral. Lineage: Eukaryota; Metazoa; Chordata; Mammalia; Artiodactyla; Cervidae.
AGGAACAAAACCUGGGCGCCAGCAAGCAUUUUCGAGGGAGCCUUGCGCUAGGCGCUUCUGAGACUAGUGGGCGGGACAGCCUCUGCGGAGGCCCCGUUUCCGGGGCGUCUACGGAAGGGGCGGGCACUUCCGGUCAGGGAGGGACGCGGGGAGCGGGCCCAGUGUAGCCGAGUGGUGUGUGUCUGUGGAUCCCAGGCUGUGAUGGCUGGUAGAGUGUUACGUCUCCUAGUUGUGCUGGAAGCGGUUUCUCGGACUCAUUCUCUGUAACCGGGCGAGGAGGGGUGGCCUUUAGGGUUCGCCUUGAUCGGAGGGGUCCGGUUCCUGCGCUCCCACCCGGGCCGCAUAAUCUCUCCGAGCACCUUUCCUUCCUCUUGGUUAUGGCUUGACGAACCCUUAAGGACUCGUCGGCCAACGUUGUGGCACAUUCAGGAGAAGGACGAGGACCCUUUACUCGAGGGGAGUAAAGACAGUACUUGGAAGAUGACGGGUCUAGUCGUCCUUGAGUGA